This 554-nucleotide ribosomal RNA is filed under the name uncultured bacterium. RNAcentral's name for it is "bacterial SSU rRNA". It matches the Rfam family "Bacterial small subunit ribosomal RNA", at positions 8 to 566 of the family's 1533-position model. The record is from RNAcentral.
AGAGUUUGAUCCUGGCUCAGGACGAACGCUGGCGGUAUGCUUAACACAUGCAAGUCGAACGAGACAAAAGAGAAGUGCUUGCACGGAUCUUUUAGAAAGUGGCGAACGGGUGAGUAACGCGUGGGUAACCUACCCUAUGGAAAGGAAUAGCCUCGGGAAACUGGGAGUAAUGCCUUAUAAGAUAUAUUUGUCGCAUGGCAGAUGUAUUAAACGCUCCGGUGCCAUAGGAUGGACCCGCGUCCCAUUAGCUAGUUGGUGAGAUAACAGCUCACCAAGGCGACGAUGGGUAACCGGUCUGAGAGGGCGAACGGUCACACUGGAACUGAGACACGGUCCAGACUCCUACGGGAGGCAGCAGUGGGGAAUAUUGCGCAAUGGGGGAAACCCUGACGCAGCAAUACCGCGUGAGUGAAGAAGGUUUUCGGAUCGUAAAGCUCUGUUAUUGGGGAAGAAAAAAAGACGGUACCCAAGAAGAUAGUCCCGGCUAACUACGUGCCAGCAGCCGCGGUAAUACGUAGGGGACAAGCGUUGUCCGGAUCUGCUGGUCGUAGGGG